ACCCAGACUCCUACGGGAGGCAGCAGUGGGGAAUAUUGCACAAUGGGGGGAACCCUGAUGCAGCGACGCCGCGUGAGCGAAGAAGUAUCUCGGUAUGUAAAGCUCUAUCAGCAGGGAAGAAAAAUGACGGUACCUGACUAAGAAGCCCCGGCUAACUACGUGCCAGCAGCCGCGGUAAUACGUAGGGGGCAAGCGUUAUCCGGAUUUACUGGGUGUAAAGGGAGCGCAGGCGGCGCGGCAAGUCUGAUGUGAAAGCCCGGGGCUCAACCCCGGGACUGCAUUGGAAACUGUGCAGCUAGAGUGCAGGAGAGGUAAGUGGAAUUCCUAGUGUAGCGGUGAAAUGCGUAGAUAUUAGGAGGAACACCAGUGGCGAAGGCGGCUUACUGGACUGUAACUGACGUUGAGGCUCGAAAGCGUGAGGAGCAAACAGGAUUAGAUACCCCGGUAGA
This 449-nucleotide ribosomal RNA is filed under the name uncultured bacterium. RNAcentral describes it as "bacterial SSU rRNA". It matches the Rfam family "Bacterial small subunit ribosomal RNA", at positions 329 to 794 of the family's 1533-position model. The record is from RNAcentral.